Long non-coding RNA from Gallus gallus (chicken), 2277 nucleotides. Lineage: Eukaryota; Metazoa; Chordata; Aves; Galliformes; Phasianidae. The record is from Ensembl.
CCCGCUAGUCACUUAUAACGGAGGAGGCAAAUGGCAGCCCGCAGCAGCAGCGGGCGCAUGGGGGAAGAUGGCCGCACGCCAGCACGGCCGCGUCCUGCCGCCCUUCCACAGGGACACGGGGGUGGGCUCGGGGCCGGGCCGGGGACUGCAGCGGGCAUCACCGGGAGGUUUGUUUGUGUUGUGUAACCAGGGCUCGGCACGCGCGUUGGGUAACGCCGCCGACAUUUCACCUACUUUCAAGCCACUGCUGCGACGAAUCCGUUUGGCCCCAAGUUGUUUUCGCCUCCAAGGAAAGUACGUUUGCACGGCGGAGCCUCCCCACCCUCUCGCCGUAAUUCCCCGGGGCGGACGAGGAGGGAGACGGGGAUUAAAGAGUCGCAGGGACCAAGGAGCCUCUGAAGAUAUAAUCUCAUUAUCUGGAAGCACUUGCAUGAGGAACGGUUAGUUUUAUGGAAGGAGAGCUGCUGCAAAAGAGAGAGAGACCUGACUUGGGUACUGAUUUGUGCCUUCCUGGUGCAGAUUUGUCAGCACAGAGCGUUCCCACAGGGCCAGCAGGCCAGGCCAAAGGGGGUGGAAAGGAGAGAAUCAAUACAGCUGCCAUCCCUUAUUGGGAGGAAUCUACAGAUCUCACCUUGAUUUACUGGGGAGAUCGAUAUCUCAACCUUCAUUAAAGUGGGUGCUAUGUUGGACUGGAUAAGGCUCACCUGCUGCGAGAGCAAAUUGUGUGCGGAUGCCUGUCCGCAUAUGUGGAGAUCAUUCAGCGUGGUCUUCGUGUACUCAAGGCUGGAUGCUGUACAGUUCGCCAGCUACCGCAGGGCUGCAUGCAGUUAGCUCAGCACCAGGCCUGGAAAGACAGGGGCUGUGCUCCAAAAGCCACCUUCUUUACCGACUUCUGGAAUGGGAGCGCUCCUGCUGGACCCAUCAGCUUAGUCCAAUUAUUCUGUUGCCUUGUUUCUGAAACUGGCUCCAAUGGAUGCUUAUGGGGAAGAGGAACAUGCUGCUGAAAGCAGAUGGGUUGAGACCUGCUCAGAACAAUGAGAAGCAGUAUUUCUGGACACCUCUCACUCAGGUGGAAUUGGCUCUGCCAGCUAGAUCCAAACCGUAAUGCUGAGAAAAGUGCUGUGAGUCCUGGAUUUACUUCCUGUGGGGUGACGAAAGGCACAGAUCAAAGUUUUGAAGCUUGGACACAGCAGCAACGGCAGACAUAGCCCAGUGGUAUCCGCCACCACCAUACCAGAGGAGACAGAAGGAAGUCCCCGGUCCCAUUCCUCAACAGGAGCACACAAGCUCUUUAGCAGCCAUGUUCAUGACUGGCCCACGUGCAGGCCUUGAGCAGAACCCACACUGAUACAAACACCAUCCAGACCCUCCAACUGAGGAAGAACUGAAGCAUGGAGGAAGAGAAACCCAGAUUCAAAAGCUAUUUAGACACCUAAUGAUGCAGUGAGAUACCAGCUGGCAUUUCCAGAAAGCACUGUUUAGGCAGCUAGGAGACCAGCACAAGUCCGCUCCACAUCUGCCUACAGCCAAGCAGCAACCAGCAGGGUGGAAGCAGACAGGUCACCUGGGGAGCAGCAAGGGCCCUGUGUCAGCUGCUUCAUGAGAGCACCUUGCUGCCUGCUUCUCACUGUCAGCAAACAUGAGGCACUCUGAGGCUAAUGAAGGAGGAAUGUCUGCUAACGAAGCAGGAGUGAACCAUCUCAGGUUCCGCAUGGCAUACGGGAGUGUGAAUGGUUAUGGCUCUGCUAGGCUCUGGCACAAAGACUUACUAACUGAGCAUUACAGUUCCUAGAAAGAAACCCAACAAACUGGGAAAAUAAAACAUUCUGACCUACUUUCAUCUCCAUUAACCUACUCCUUCCUUAAAAGCUUGGGCAGAGACAUUCACAUGUUGCUAGGCUCUAAGCAGCAGCUUUGCAGUCCUGGAUUCCAGUUGCAUGCAGCACAGCAGCGUGCUGUGGAUACAAAGACAGCCUCUCCCCACCCCCUCAGACAGGAGCCCCAAGAACUGGAAGGCUGCUGCUGCUGCUCUCUGCUGAACUCAGCUUCUGUGAGCACCUACAUGCAGGCUGGCAGGUCCCCCUGCACCCAGAAUGAAGCCCACCAACUCCUGCUAGGUCAGAGCUGGGCCUUCCAGAGCUGAGGCACAGCUGGGCUUUGUCUAAACCACACUGACCAGCCCAUCGGAAUGAGGAUGAUGGUGUGGCAGAGUCAGAUCUCCAGGGAAAGAUGCAGUGGAUGAAGAGAGGCUAAAAAAGCCGAUGCACUUGACCUCUC